Molecule: long non-coding RNA, 2138 nt
Filed under: Androctonus crassicauda
Lineage: Eukaryota; Metazoa; Arthropoda; Arachnida; Scorpiones; Buthidae
Source: RNAcentral
CAAAUGACAUAAGCAUUUCUCAGCCAACCUCCCCGAGUAACGUAACAGAUGGAGAAAAAUUACAGGUGGUAACAACCAAAUUUCCUAGCGAUAGCCGGGACAAGCAUUCAGUACCUCCACUGUAGCGUUGCAGCAGCGGCGACGUGUAGGUGCCUUUUUCUUCGGUACUUGUACACUGUCUAGACACAACACGAUCAGACUAGACAUGCCUCUACAUUGGCCAGGUCCUUCGGUACCACUACAUUGUCAUAACCACAAUUAGAAUAACCAGAAUCUAUUUUAUGUUCCAAUACAAAUGAAAUGUAUUUAUUAACCAACAUUAGAAGAGGUAUAAUAAAAAUGAAAUGUAUAAUACCACCAAUAUAAUACAAAUGACAUGUAUAAUAUUUAAUAACAACCAAUAUAAUACAACAGCAUACAAAAGUGAAUAUUAUAUGUAUUAACCAUAAUUAGAAUAGGCCUUCAAAUAGCUACAAAUAUAAUACAAAAAUAAUACAAACUAUCUUCAUAUAGAUACACAAAUAUGAUUUAAUACAAAAUAUCUUCAAUAUAAUACAAUACAAAAAUAGACUUGCAAAUAGCUCAAAUUGGAAUAUUCUCUUUCUCCUCUUCGCAUACAAACCGUUUGUAGGAGCAAAGGUUACAGAAUACGCAUCUACGGUUGAAUAGUUGACAUCUGUUGCAUUGUUGUCCUAUUACAACAGCGGGUGGGAUCUCAUAUACGUCCUGCAGAUCGGUAAUUGGGAUAUCGUAUAGGGAUCCCAAAUACAUUGCCAGAAACGACCGUUUACAGUAUAUAUGCCUAUAUUCAUCGACCAGAUCACGUAAGACGAAUGGUACAUGGUCUGCUGCUAUCCAAACAUGGCUGUUGUUCCUGGGGCGACUGGCCAUUUGCAGGCCAUGCCCAUAUUGGACUGCAUAUGUCACGAUAGCUUGGUCGAUAUGCGACAGGUCUCGAUGUCUGACACCUGGCGUGUAUAUAUGCAAUUGGUCGUACGUAUCAUCAAACAGCGUGACAUAACUUAAUCUUCUGAAUAUCCACCCAGAACUUACAUAAUAGCCAUCGAUGUGUAAUAAUAUCCCUUCCAUUUUCAGAACCUAAAAUGGAUAUAAUUCAAUUAUAAUGCCUAAUAGAUAUCCGUAAAAUAUUUUCUAAGGAGAUGUAUUUAUUAUGAUCCUGUAUUACAAUACAUACAGAUUAACUGCGAGAGUGACAUGGAUGCAACCGAGUUGUUUAAGGUUCUGUUAUCUAAGGAUAUGGAUUAUAAUCAUUUCGAAAGAAUGCUGAAGAGAAUAGAAAAGAAAUGUAGAGAGACGCCAGAGAUUAUGGAUACCUGGAAUGAAAUAGCUGCACGUUUGAUGAUCUAUAAAGAAUGGAAUAAGGACAAAGGGAUAAUUCCAAAAUACAAUGAAGCCUGUUUAAAUUCAGUCUGGACAUAGCUGACGCAAGAAUAAUAUGUCAAUAUUGGUGUGAUGUACGGGAUAUUUGUGUGGUCUGUGUCAUUUCCUGUUGUCUAAAUGUUAAUAAAGAAUUGUUUCAUUUAUGGCUUAUAUAUACUAAGGUCUAUAACGCGUCUGAAUAUACAAUGAUUAUGGCCACUGCAAAUGUUACAGGAAACGAUUUCAAACAGUAUAUCGAUGGAGAUAGAGAUUCCUUCAUAUUCAAAGGAGGGAUGGCCCAUACUGUUUAGAUAUCGAUAUACUAGAGUUUCCGGCAACUGGAGGAGCGGUGUAUUACUGCGUGGGGAAAUGUCUGAAGCUGUACUAUUUCGGAGAAAGAAAUACUAUUCCUGUAUUAUACCCAAUUUCAUCAGACCUCAACUAAGUACAGAUCGAUUUCGUACAUGUGUAACCGUUUCUGUUAUCGAUAUUCCUGUGUGUAUUGUAAUAUAGCAUUUGAAUAAAUACCUGUACUUUACUAUAAUCAUUACACACCACAAUAAUAUAUCUUCCUGGUAUACUCGCUUUGCCUGUACCCUCUCUGCUUACUCUACCUUACUAGACCAUCUGUAAUAAACGCUGUUUAUUAAAAGUAAAUUGUUUUGAAAGCAAACCUCUAUCUUGUACUCUUCACAUUUCUCAAUCAUUUAAGUGUAUGCAAGUAGUCUGUUGUACUAUAGUUUUUUCUAAAACCUGCC